GGUGGGGGGAGGGGCGCUCACGCAACCGCCACUGUCUGGAGCGGGCUCGCCUCUGCGGCGGCACUCACCGCCCGGGCUUUACUGAAGCGGAGUCUAGCAUGUGCGGCUGCUCCACAGCGGUGUGGGUGGCGGCGGCUCCUCUGCAGCAGCCUCGGCAGUAGGGGUCACGGUGGCCAAGCCCACCGUGGAGCUCAUCUGAGAGUUGUAAGGUACGGGACUGCCUCGGUCUUUGGGACGCCCCGUCUGGUAGCAUCCCAGAUCCAGCACGUUCCUUCCGGCCCUGCACCCCGGCCCGGUGCCUCACACCCCGCUACCCCAUGCAUCCAGACUCUAAGGCAGCCCCUGCAUCUCAGUCCUGACAUCGCUGUCCCUGGAGCAUCCUCCGCUGGAGCUGGAGCUUGACAGAGCCUUACACAGGUUAUCUCUAGACCUGACAACAACCCAAGCAAGGCAAGGACUAUUCUCUCGGUCUGCAGACGCUGGCUCAGAUAGCUGGAGCAACUUCCCAAGGUCCCACAGCCAGUAAGGAAAGACCCAGACCUCCCAAGCUCCCUUCCUUUAUUGGCUGCCUGUGGACUACCAGCUCUGGAUGGACAAGGAAAAAGAGGAAAGCAUGAAAGAAACCCUGCGGAUAAGAAGGUUAGGCGAGCCAGAGGAUUCUCUUGGCAUCGUGUCUUUCCUGUGCUCUGAAGAUGCCAGCUACCUCACUGGGGAAACAGUGAUGGUGGGUGGAGGAACCCCGUCCCGCCUCUGAGGACCCGGAGACAGCCCACAGGCCAGAGUUGGGCUCUAGCUCCUGGUGCUGUUCCUGCAUUCACCCACUGGCCUUUCCCACCUCUGCUCACCUUACUGUUCACCUCAUCAAAUCAGUUCUGCCCUGUGAAAAGAUCCAGCCUUCCCUGCCGUCAAGGUGGUGUCUUACUCGGGAUUCCUGCUGUUGUUGUGGCCUUGGGUAAAGGCCUCCCCUGAGAACACAGGACAGGCCUGCUGACAAGGCUGAGUCUACCUUGGCAAAGACCAAGAUAUUUUUUGCCCAGGCCACUGGGGAAUUUGAGGGGAGAUGAGAGAGAAGGAAGCUGGAGUGGAAGGAGCAGAGUUGCAAAUUAACAACUUGCAAAUGAGGUGCAAAUAAAAUGCAGAUGAUUGCGCGGCUUUGAA
Homo sapiens (human) is the source of this 1158-nucleotide long non-coding RNA. The record is from Ensembl. Lineage: Eukaryota; Metazoa; Chordata; Mammalia; Primates; Hominidae.